RNAcentral lists this ribosomal RNA (253 nucleotides) under uncultured bacterium. RNAcentral describes it as "partial 16S ribosomal RNA". It matches the Rfam family "Bacterial small subunit ribosomal RNA", at positions 524 to 776 of the family's 1533-position model. The record is from RNAcentral.
UACGUAGGGGGCUAGCGUUGUCCGGAAUCAUUGGGCGUAAAGCGCGUGUAGGCGGUUCGGUAAGUCCGCUGUGAAAGUCGGGGGCUCAACCCUCGAAUGUCGGUGGAUACUGUCGGACUAGAGUACGGAAGAGGCGAGUGGAAUUCCUGGUGUAGCGGUGAAAUGCGCAGAUAUCAGGAGGACCGCCGGUGGCGAAGGCGGCAUUCUGGACCACAACUGACACUGAGAGACGAAGGCCAGGGGAGCAAACGGG